GAGAGCCGUGUGCGGGAAAAUCGCCGGCACGAUUCGGAAAUAGGGGAGGCUGGCACUCUUUUUUAGCUUCUGUAAA
This 76-nucleotide non-coding RNA is filed under the name Methylobacter tundripaludum. The record is from RNAcentral. Lineage: Bacteria; Pseudomonadati; Pseudomonadota; Gammaproteobacteria; Methylococcales; Methylococcaceae.